Molecule: ribosomal RNA, 468 nt
Filed under: uncultured bacterium
Lineage: Bacteria
Description: partial 16S ribosomal RNA
Rfam family: Bacterial small subunit ribosomal RNA
Source: RNAcentral
GACGAACGCUGGCGGCGUGCUUAACACAUGCAAGUCGAACGGAAAGGCCCUGCUUUUGUGGGGUGCUCGAGUGGCGAACGGGUGAGUAACACGUGAGUAACCUGCCCUUGACUUUGGGAUAACUUCAGGAAACUGGGGCUAAUACCGGAUAGGAGCUCCUGCUGCAUGGUGGGGGUUGGAAAGUUUCGGCGGUUGGGGAUGGACUCGCGGCUUAUCAGCUUGUUGGUGGGGGAGUGGCUUACCAAGGCUUUGACGGGUAGCCGGCCUGAGAGGGUGACCGGCCACAUUGGGACUGAGGUACGGCCUAGACUCCUACGGGAGGCAGCAGUGGGGAAUAUUGCACAAUGGGCGGAAGCCAGAUGCAGCAACGCCGCGUGCGGGAUGACGGCCUUCGGGUUGUAAACCGCUUUCGCCUGUGACGAAGCGUGAGUGACGGUAAUGGGUAAAGAAGCACCGGCUAACUACGUG